RNAcentral lists this ribosomal RNA (466 nucleotides) under uncultured bacterium. Its description in RNAcentral is "partial 16S ribosomal RNA". It matches the Rfam family "Bacterial small subunit ribosomal RNA", at positions 28 to 507 of the family's 1533-position model. The record is from RNAcentral.
GAUGAACGCUGGCGGCGUGCUUAACACAUGCAAGUCGAACGAUGAAGCACAGCUUGCUGGGUGUUUUAGUGGCGAAGUGGUGAGUAACACGGGAGUAACCUGCCCUUAACUCUUGGGUAAGCCUUGGAAACUGGGACUAAUACCUGAUACCAGCGUCCACCUCAUGGUGAGAGUUGGAAAUAUUUAUCCGUUUUGGAUGGUCUCGGGGCCUAUGAGCUUUUUCGUGAGGUAAUGGCUCACGAAGGCGACGACGGGUAGCCGGCCUGAGAGGGUGACCGGCCACCCUGGGACUGAGAGACGGACCAGAGUCGUACGGGAGGCAGCAGUGGGGAAUAUUGCACAAUGGGCGCAAGCCUGAUGAAGCGACGCCGCGUGAGGGAUGACGGCCUUCGGGUUGUAAAACUCUUUCAGUAGGGAAGCAGCGAAAGUGACGGUACCUGAAGAAGAAGCACCGGCUAACUACGUG